UGUGAACUCGAAGAGUAGGGCGGGACACGUGGUAUCCUGUCUGAAUAUGGGGGGACCAUCCUCCAAGGCUAAAUACUCCUGACUGACCGAUAGUGAACCAGUACCGUGAGGGAAAGGCGAAAAGAACCCCGGCGAGGGGAGUGAAAAAGAACCUGAAACCGUGUACGUACAAGCAGUGGGAGCACCUUCGGGUGUGACUGCGUACCUUUUGUAUAAUGGGUCAGCGACUUAUAUUCUGUAGCAAGGUUAACCGUAUAGGGGAGCCGCAGGGAAACCGAGUCUUAACUGGGCGUUAAGUUGCAGGGUAUAGACCCGAAACCCGGUGAUCUAGCCAUGGGCAGGUUGAAGGUUGGGUAACACUAACUGGAGGACCGAACCGACUAAUGUUGAAAAAUUAGCGGAUGACUUGUGGCUGGGGGUGAAAGGCCAAUCAAACCGGGAGAUAGCUGGUUCUCCCCGAAAGCUAUUUAGGUAGCGCCUCGUGAACUCAUCUUCGGGGGUAGAGCACUGUUUCGGCUAGGGGGUCAUCCCGACUUACCAACCCGAUGCAAACUACGAAUACCGAAGAAUGUUAUCACGGGAGACACACGGCGGGUGCUAACGUCCGUCGUGAAGAGGGAAACAACCCAGACCGCCAGCUAAGGUCCCAAAGUCAUGGUUAAGUGGGAAACGAUGUGGGAAGGCACAGACAGCCAGGAUGUUGGCUUAGAAGCAGCCAUCAUUUAAAGAAAGCGUAAUAGCUCACUGGUCGAGUCGGCCUGCGCGGAAGAUGUAACGGGGCUAAACCAUGCACCGAAGCUGCGGCAGCGACACUAUGUGUUGUUGGGUAGGGGAGCGUUCUGUAAGCCUGCGAAGGUGACCUGUGAGGGUUGCUGGAGGUAUCAGAAGUGCGAAUGCUGACAUAAGUAACGAUAAAGCGGGUGAAAAGCCCGCUCGCCGGAAGACCAAGGGUUCCUGUCCAACGUUAAUCGGGGCAGGGUGAGUCGACCCCUAAGGCGAGGCCGAAAGGCGUAGUCGAUGGGAAACAGGUUAAUAUUCCUGUACUUGGUGUUACUGCGAAGGGGGGACGGAGAAGGCUAUGU
RNAcentral lists this ribosomal RNA (1082 nucleotides) under Klebsiella pneumoniae. Its description in RNAcentral is "partial 23S ribosomal RNA". It matches the Rfam family "Bacterial large subunit ribosomal RNA", at positions 398 to 1487 of the family's 2925-position model. Lineage: Bacteria; Pseudomonadati; Pseudomonadota; Gammaproteobacteria; Enterobacterales; Enterobacteriaceae. The record is from RNAcentral.